Molecule: ribosomal RNA, 465 nt
Filed under: uncultured bacterium
Lineage: Bacteria
Description: bacterial SSU rRNA
Rfam family: Bacterial small subunit ribosomal RNA
Source: RNAcentral
GGGCCCGCACAAGCGGAGGAGCAUGUGGUUUAAUUCGAUGAUACGCGAGGAACCUUACCUGGGCUCGAACGUAAGAUGACUGUAGGUGAAAGCUUACAUCCCUUCGGGGCAUUUUACGAGGUGCUGCAUGGUUGUCGUCAGCUCGUGCCGUGAGGUGUCGGGUUAAGUCCCAUAACGAGCGCAACCCCUAUCUUUAGUUGCCAACAGGUAAUGCUGGGGACUCUAAAGAAACUGCCUACGCAAGUAGUGAGGAAGGCGGGGAUGACGUCAAAUCAGCACGGCCCUUACGUCCAGGGCUACACACGUGCUACAAUGGCCGAUACAGAGGGCAGCUACCAGGCGACUGGAUGCAAAUCUCGAAAGUCGGUCUCAGUUCGGAUCGGAGUCUGCAACCCGACUCCGUGAAGUUGGAUUCGCUAGUAAUCGCAUAUCAGCCAUGAUGCGGUGAAUACGUUCCCGGGCCUU